UGGGGAAUAUUGCGCAAUGGGCGAAAGCCUGACGCAGCGACGCCGCGUGGGGGAUGACGGCCUUCGGGUUGUAAACCUCUUUCAGCAGGGACGAAGCGAGAGUGACGGUACCUGCAGAAGAAGCACCGGCCAACUACGUGCCAGCAGCCGCGGUAAUACGUAGGGUGCAAGCGUUGUCCGGAAUUAUUGGGCGUAAAGAGCUCGUAGGCGGUUUGUUGCGUCGGCUGUGAAAUCCCGAGGCUCAACCUCGGGUCUGCAGUCGAUACGAGCAAACUAGAGUGUUGCAGGGGAGAGUGGAAUUCCUGGUGUAGCGGUGAAAUGCGCAGAUAUCAGGAGGAACACCGGUGGCGAAGGCGGGUCUCUGGGCAACAACUGACGCUGAGGAGCGAAAGCGUGGGGAGCGAACAGG
RNAcentral lists this ribosomal RNA (409 nucleotides) under Bacillota bacterium. RNAcentral describes it as "Firmicutes bacterium partial 16S ribosomal RNA". It matches the Rfam family "Bacterial small subunit ribosomal RNA", at positions 355 to 776 of the family's 1533-position model. Lineage: Bacteria; Bacillati; Bacillota. The record is from RNAcentral.